Mustela lutreola (European mink) is the source of this 910-nucleotide long non-coding RNA. RefSeq lists it as uncharacterized. NCBI's taxonomy places the organism in Eukaryota, Metazoa, Chordata, Mammalia, Carnivora, Mustelidae. The record is from RefSeq and is a predicted model, not a curated record. The transcript has 4 exons.
GCCCCGCAGUACCGCCUACCGACCGUAGAGGGCGCGGCGCACACCCGCGCAGCUCAGCCUGCAGGAAAGAGGAAGCAGGUCUCUGCUGAGACCGUACCUGGCCACUGCGCGUCUUCCCUCCAGUGCGGGCGGAGGAGGCCAGAGCUCUGGGGAGAGUCGUCUGAAAGCCGCGGGACGAGCGCAGGCCUGCACGCGGACAACGGCUCCUGGGGACGUCAGACGGGUGCUCAGCCGUGCCCCCACCCGCCGCCCACUCUAUCCCUGGAGCCGGGGACCGGCCAGCAAGACGCCCACGCUGGGAGGCUUCUCUCCCCGUCUGUCUGGCUCCCACGCUCUCUGCACCUGCGUCGAUGGCCUCGGACUUGUGCCUCGGCUCUGCUGGAGCAGGAGAUCCUGCAGAAAUGCUCCUGGAGGAACGUUCUCCCAGCUUCUCCGGCAGACGGCGGAAGCGGGGCACGCCUGGGUCGGGAUUGCUGGGUGUCACGGCAGACGCGACGCCACGUUAGCAGCCACUCGUGGCCUUAAAAUUGUGCAUGAAUUUUAAAAUAUCUUUCAAGGAGCAGGCAGGAAAGACACCCUCUAUCGCUCCCCGGCGUGUUUUCAGCAUCCGGACGGUACGCAGAGCUUACCCAUCUGCUCUGGGUACUGGCGCUUUGGAAAUGUGGUUUUUGGGAUUCCCCACCCUACAAGGACGUUCCAGGCCACGUGGGAUUGCUGGCAAGGAUGGAGGGAAGAACCCCAGGUUGGGAAGGAAGCGAUCUGCCUGGGAGUGCGUGUGGACGCGGGAGCGUGUGUGUGAGUGUGUGUGCGCGUGUGUGCGCGCGACGGGCCGAGGCUUCCUCUCCCACACUGUCCGGUGGACAUUGGAGAAGCAGCAGCAGCAGCAGCACGGCACGAGGAAAGAGGAAAC